RNAcentral lists this ribosomal RNA (253 nucleotides) under uncultured Clostridia bacterium. RNAcentral's name for it is "partial 16S ribosomal RNA". It matches the Rfam family "Bacterial small subunit ribosomal RNA", at positions 524 to 776 of the family's 1533-position model. Lineage: Bacteria; Bacillati; Bacillota; Clostridia. The record is from RNAcentral.
UACGUAGGUGGCGAGCGUUGUCCGGAAUCACUGGGCGUAAAGGGCGCGUAGGCGGCAAUACAAGUCGCAUGUGAAAUACCAGGGCUUAACCUUGGGGUGUCAUGCGAAACUGUAUGGCUUGAGUGCAGUAGAGGUAAGCGGAAUUCCUGGUGUAGCGGUAAAAUGCGUAGAGAUCAGGAGGAACACCGGUGGCGAAGGCGGCUUACUGGGCUGCAACUGACGCUGAGGCGCGAAAGCGUGGGGAGCAAACAGG